GACGAACGCUGGCGGCGUGCCUAAUACAUGCAAGUUGAGCGCUGAAGGUUGGUACUUGUACCAACUGGAUGAGCAGCGAACGGGUGAGUAACGCGUGGGGAAUCUGCCUUUGAGCGGGGGACAACAUUUGGAAACGAAUGCUAAUACCGCAUAAAAACUUUAAACACAAGUUUUAAGUUUGAAAGAUGCAAUUGCAUCACUCAAAGAUGAUCCCGCGUUGUAUUAGCUAGUUGGUGAGGUAAAGGCUCGCCAAGGCGAUGAUACAUAGCCGACCUGAGAGGGUGAUCGGCCAAAUUGGGACUGAGACACGGCCCAAACUCCUACGGGAGGCAGCAGUAGGGAAUCUUCGGCAAUGGACGAAAGUCUGACCGAGCAACGCCGCGUGAGUGAAGAAGGUUUUCGGAUCGUAAAACUCUGUUGGUAGAGAAGAACGUUGGUGAGAGUGGAAAGCUCAUCAAGUGACGGUAACUACCCAGAAAGGGACGGCUAACUACGUG
This 497-nucleotide ribosomal RNA is filed under the name uncultured bacterium. RNAcentral's name for it is "partial 16S ribosomal RNA". It matches the Rfam family "Bacterial small subunit ribosomal RNA", at positions 28 to 507 of the family's 1533-position model. The record is from RNAcentral.